GUCGCCGCGGUAAUACGAAGGGUGCAAGCGUUACUCGGAAUUACUGGGCGUAAAGCGUGCGUAGGUGGUUGUUUAAGUCUGCUGUGAAAGCCCUGGGCUCAACCUGGGAAUUGCAGUGGAUACUGGGCAACUAGAGUAAGGUAGAGGAUAGUGGAAUUUCCGGUGUAGCAGUGAAAUGCGUAGAGAUCGGAAGGAACAUCUGUGGCGAAGGCGACUAUCUGGGCCAUUACUGACACUGAGGCACGAAAGCGUGGGGAGCAAACAGGAUUAGAUACCCGGGUAGUCCCUGUCUCUUAUACAC
This 301-nucleotide ribosomal RNA is filed under the name uncultured bacterium. RNAcentral describes it as "partial 16S ribosomal RNA". It matches the Rfam family "Bacterial small subunit ribosomal RNA", at positions 511 to 809 of the family's 1533-position model. The record is from RNAcentral.